UAUAUCCAGCUCAAAUUAGGGAGUGGGACAGAAAUGAUAUUUUCGCAAAAUUUAUUUCGUCGUCCCACCCCAGCAAGGUUGACUAGAAUUGAAAAAAGCUUGUUACAAGCGCAUUUUCGUUCAGUCAACUACUGCCAAUAUAACUUCGUAGAGCAUAGAACAUUGAUUUAU
Molecule: non-coding RNA, 171 nt
Filed under: Staphylococcus aureus subsp. aureus NCTC 8325
Lineage: Bacteria; Bacillati; Bacillota; Bacilli; Caryophanales; Staphylococcaceae
Description: Staphylococcus sRNA 35 (srn_0335)
Rfam family: Staphylococcus sRNA 35 (srn_0335)
About the family: Other name: Srn_0335, SAOUHSCs258. Northern blot transcript confirmed in exponentially growing and stationary cells in three cultivation media.
Source: Rfam by way of RNAcentral